This 600-nucleotide ribosomal RNA is filed under the name fungal sp. APA-2013. Its description in RNAcentral is "eukaryotic LSU rRNA". The stretch from base 234 to 387 matches the Rfam family "5.8S ribosomal RNA". Lineage: Eukaryota; Fungi. The record is from RNAcentral.
CUUGGUCAUUUAGAGGAAGUAAAAGUCGUAACAAGGUCUCCGUAGGUGAACCUGCGGAGGGAUCAUUACACAAAUAUGAAGGCGGGCUGGAACCUCUCGGGGUUACAGCCUUGCUGAAUUAUUCACCCUUGUCUUUUGCGUACUUCUUGUUUCCUUGGUGGGUUCGCCCACCACUAGGACAAACAUAAACCUUUUGUAAUUGCAAUCAGCGUCAGUAACAAAUUAAUAAUUACAACUUUCAACAACGGAUCUCUUGGUUCUGGCAUCGAUGAAGAACGCAGCGAAAUGCGAUAAGUAGUGUGAAUUGCAGAAUUCAGUGAAUCAUCGAAUCUUUGAACGCACAUUGCGCCCUUUGGUAUUCCAAAGGGCAUGCCUGUUCGAGCGUCAUUUGUACCCUCAAGCUUUGCUUGGUGUUGGGCGUCUUGUCUCUAGCUUUGCUGGAGACUCGCCUUAAAGUAAUUGGCAGCCGGCCUACUGGUUUCGGAGCGCAGCACAAGUCGCACUCUCUAUCAGCAAAGGUCUAGCAUCCAUUAAGCCUUUUUUUCAACUUUUGACCUCGGAUCAGGUAGGGAUACCCGCUGAACUUAAGCAUAUCAAUAA